UAGGGAAUAUUGCAAAUGGACGAAAGCCUGAUGUAGCAACGCCGCGUGUGCGAUGAAGGUCUUCGGAUUGUAAAGCACUUUUUGGAGGGAUGAGGAAGGACAGUACCUCCAGAAUAAGCCUCGGGUAACUACGUGCCAGCAGCCGCGGUAACACGUAGGAGGCAAGCGUUAUUCGGAUUUACUGGGCGUAAAGCGCGUGCAGGCGGUUUGGAAAGUUGGAUGUGAAAGCUCCUGGCUCAACUGGGAGAGGUCGUUCAAAACUUCCAGACUUGAGAGUGGUAGAGGGAGGUGGAAUUCCGGGUGUAGUGGUGAAAUGCGUAGAUAUCCGGAGGAACACCAGUGGCGAAAGCGGCCUCCUGGCCCAUUUCUGACGCUCAGACACGAAAGCUAAGGUAGCAAACGG
This 403-nucleotide ribosomal RNA is filed under the name uncultured bacterium. RNAcentral's name for it is "bacterial SSU rRNA". It matches the Rfam family "Bacterial small subunit ribosomal RNA", at positions 355 to 775 of the family's 1533-position model. The record is from RNAcentral.